RNAcentral lists this ribosomal RNA (436 nucleotides) under uncultured bacterium. RNAcentral's name for it is "bacterial SSU rRNA". It matches the Rfam family "Bacterial small subunit ribosomal RNA", at positions 339 to 792 of the family's 1533-position model. The record is from RNAcentral.
CUACGGGAGGCAGCAGUGGGGAAUCUUGCACAAUGGGGGAAACCCUGAUGCAGCGACGCCGCGUGAGCGAUGAAGCCCUUCGGGGUGUAAAGCUCUUUCGGCAGGGACGAUGAUGACGGUACCUGCAGAAGCAGCUGCGGCUAACUACGUGCCAGCAGCCGCGGUAAUACGUAGGCAGCAAGCGUUGUUCGGAGUUGCUGGGCGUAAAGGGUGCGUAGGCGGUCCCUUAAGUUUGGUGUGAAAUCUCCCGGCUCAACUGGGAGGGUGCGCCGGAUACUGAGGGACUAGAGUGCGGGAGGGGAGAGUAGAAUUCCCGGUGUAGCGGUGAAAUGCGUAGAUAUCGGGAGGAAUACCGGUGGUGUAAACGGCUCUCUGGACCGUAACUGACGCUGAGGCACGAAAGCGUGGGUAGCAAACAGGAUUAGAUACCCUUGUA